AGAGAGAGACAUGCGCGCAUAUCAAUAAGCGGAGGAAAAGAAACUAACAAGGAUUCCCCUAGUAACGGCGAGUGAAGCGGGAAGAGCUCAAAUUUGAAAUCUUCAAGGUUCUACCUUGACGAAUUGUAGUUUAUAGAAGUGUUUUCUGUUAGUGGAGUGGCAAAAGUUCUUUGGAAUAGGACAUCAUAGAGGGUGAGAAUCCCGUAUUUGACCAUUAUUUCCAACUUUGUGAUACACUUUCAAAGAGUCGGAUUGUUUGGGAAUGCAGUCCAAAAUGGGUGGUAAAUUUCAUCUAAAGCUAAAUACUGGCGAGAGACCGAUAGCGAACAAGUACCGUGAGGGAAAGAUGAAAAGAACUUUGAAAAGAGAGUUAAACAGUACGUGAAAUUGUCAAAAGGGAAGCGUUUGACACCAGUGUUGUUUUCUCGAAAAUCAAUUAAGAAUGAUUGAUUUUGAGGUUGUAUUGACUUUAUCAGGCUUGCUGCCUCUUCUCUUGGAACUUUCUUAAUGCACUUUUCGGUUAACAAGUCAACAUCAAUUUCUUUUGUUGUAAAAGGGUCAUGAGGAAGGUGGCUUUCUUUUCGGAGGAAGUGUUUAUAGCCUUUGGCUUCUGCAAUCGGAGAGAUUGAGGUCUGCAGCGUAGAUCCUUCGGGGUUAGAUACAUUUGUGCUAAGUUAUAGCUUUCAUAGACAACUUGUUGACUAUGAUUAGUCAUUGUAGCUUACUCGCUUAUGCUAUUUUACCUACGCUUAGGAUGUUGACAGCAGUAUAGACUGU
RNAcentral lists this ribosomal RNA (777 nucleotides) under uncultured Neocallimastigales. RNAcentral's name for it is "partial large subunit ribosomal RNA". It matches the Rfam family "Eukaryotic large subunit ribosomal RNA", at positions 23 to 640 of the family's 3401-position model. The record is from RNAcentral. Lineage: Eukaryota; Fungi; Neocallimastigomycota; Neocallimastigomycetes; Neocallimastigales.